GACGAACGCUGGCGGCGUGCUUAACACAUGCAAGUCGAACGGAAAGGCCCUGCUUUUGUGGGGUGCUCGAGUGGCGAAGGGGGGAGUAAAACGUGAGUAACAUGCCCUUGACUUUGGGAUAACUUCAGGAAACUGGGGCUAAUACCGGAUAGGAGAUCCUGCUGCAUGGGGGGGGUUGGUAAGUUUCGGCGGUUGGGGAUGGACUCGCGGCUUAUCAGCUUGUUGGGGGGGUAGGGGCUUACCAGGGCUUUGACGGGUAGCCGGCCUGAGAGGGGGACCGGCCACAUUGGGACUGAGAUACGGCCCAGACUCCUACGUGAGGCAGUAGUGGGGAAUAUUGCACAAUGGGCGGAAGCCAGAUGCAGCAACGCCGCGUUCGGGAUGACGGCCUUCGGGUUGUAAACCGCUUUCGCCUGUGCCGAAGCGUGAGUGACGGUAAUGGGUAAAGAAGCACCGGCUAACUACGUG
RNAcentral lists this ribosomal RNA (468 nucleotides) under uncultured bacterium. Its description in RNAcentral is "partial 16S ribosomal RNA". It matches the Rfam family "Bacterial small subunit ribosomal RNA", at positions 28 to 507 of the family's 1533-position model. The record is from RNAcentral.